AUUGGGGACCGCGUUGCCGCUGCCGCAAAGUGCGGGGGAGGAAAGUCCGGGCAACAUAGAGCACCAUACUUCCUAACGGGAAGGCAUCGAAGGAUGACAGACAGUGCCACAGAAAAAAUACCGCCCGCAAGGGUAAGGGUGAAAACGCGAGGUAAGAGCUCACGUCGCCGUCAGUGAUGCCGGCGGAGGUAAACCUUAUGGGUUGAAAGACCAAAUAAACCGAGGCUUGAGGGCUGCUCGUCCGACUCGGAGGGUAGG
RNAcentral lists this RNase P RNA (258 nucleotides) under Bacteroidales bacterium. Its description in RNAcentral is "partial RNase P RNA component class A". It matches the Rfam family "Bacterial RNase P class A", at positions 1 to 275 of the family's 367-position model. Rfam says of the family: Ribonuclease P (RNase P) is a ubiquitous endoribonuclease, found in archaea, bacteria and eukarya as well as chloroplasts and mitochondria. Its best characterised activity is the generation of mature 5'-ends of tRNAs by cleaving the 5'-leader elements of precursor-tRNAs. The record is from RNAcentral. Lineage: Bacteria; Pseudomonadati; Bacteroidota; Bacteroidia; Bacteroidales.